UUUUUUUUUUAUCUUCUUUUUAUGGCCGCACCUGUGGCAUAUGGAAGUUCCCAGGCUAGGGGUCGAAUUGGAGCUGCAGCUGUGACCUAUGCCACAGCAACACUGGAUCUGAGCCACAUGCGACCUACCUGGCAGCUUGCCACAACACCAGAUCCUUAACCUACUAAGUGAGGCCAGGGAUUGAAUCCAAAUCCUCACUAUGUCGGAUUCUUAACCCAUAGAACCACAACAGGAACUCCAAAUUUAUUAUUAACAUACUUAAAGGUAUACUAUGACUUCAACAUGUCAAAACACAUUUUUUUACACCAUUAACAAAUAUAUCAGAAGCUCUGGUAUGUAGCACCAGCUCUCCUUUCUCCAAUGAAAAGAGACCAAAAGGUGCAUAAAAAUGUGAAUUAGGGAAAAAAGUCAUUUCAAAAAAAGAAACAAGAAAAACAAGUAUGUCUGAACAUAAAGUGGGAUAUAGGAGGGUAAAUUAGCUUCUUAGAGUAUAUCCACACUGGGAAAUGGUGCAAAACUAGACCACAAAGGAGGGUCUUGGUAGAAGGUGUAAAUGGUAUAGAGAAAUAUGGAGCCUGAGUCCUGAAAAUGGGAAAGAGGUUGAAAUCUACCCUGCACCAGGAAAAUCUGAUACCUACGUGUUUGGACGGCCCGGGCUCCUACACGAAGUCCCAAUUCCAGCCAGACAGAUCGACCUCCCAACAUACCCACUGCUCCUCUGGGAAGUCUUUCCUUGUCACCCAGGCUGAAAAGUGGUCUCCCCCUCCUCUGAGCUCCUAUAAUCACAGAAGUAUGGGUUAAUCCCACCUCUGAGAAUUUACACAGCUUGCACAUUUUAAUCCAUCUCCUCUACGAGCAGGACCUUACAAGAAGGCAUUGUACCAAAAACGCUCUAAAAGAGCAGUUCCCAUUGUGGCACAGUGAAAACAAAUUCAACUAGUAUCCAUGAGGAUGCAGGUUCGAUCCCUGGCCUCACUCGGUGGGUUAAGGAUCCGGUAUUGCCGUGAGCUGUGGUGUAGGUCACAGACCAGAAGCUACAGCUCCAAUUCGACCCCUAGCCUGGGAACCUCCAUAAGCUAUCAGUGUGGCCCUAAAAAGCCAAAAAAGGCGGGGCGGCGGCAGCGGACUAAAACAUGUAAACAAAGAGCAUUUGGUUCAGGUUUCACGCAAAUAUGGCUGUAUCUGCGCUGUUCCCUAUGCCCGAAUGAUAAACUCAGUUCAAUGUUAAACUGCUUUCCCAGUUUUCUCCUUUUACAAGUCAUCCUUCGUUCUCUCCUAGGUUUUUUGUUGUUGUUUUGUUUUGUUUCUUGUCUUUUGUCUUUUUAGGGCCACACCCGUGGCAUAUGGAGGUUCCCAGGCUAGGGGUCAAAUAGGGGCUGUAGCUUCUGGCCUACACCACAGCUACAGCAAUGUGGGAUCCAAGCCGCGUCUGUGACCUACGCCAUAGCUCAUGGCUACUUUGGAUCCUCAACCCACUGAGUGAGGCCUGGGAUCAAACCUGCAACCUCAUGGCUACUAGCUGGGUUCACUAACCACUGAGCCAUGAUGGGAACUCCUCUCCUAGGUUUUUAGAAAAGUCUUCUUUUUCUAUUAUGUUAUUAAGUUACUGUUGUAAGUUACCCUAAAUUCUUUGUAGAAUGAAAACACCAAAGAUUAUACAAAUUUGGCAAUACAACAUUCCUAAUAAGAGUCUUAAAAGCAUGGCAUAUAAGACUGGAAAUGGCAGAGCCAUUCACUUGAAAGAAAGAUCCAUAUUACUACAUACAGAAUGAAUAAACAAGGUCCUACUGCACAGCACAAGGUAUUAUACUCAAUAUUCUAUGAUAAACCAUAAUGGAAAAGAAUAUUUUAUAAAGAAUGUGUGUGUAUAUACAUAUGGCUGAAUCCCUCUGCUGUGCACAGAAUUUAACACAACAUUGUAAAUCAACUAUACUUCAAUUUAAAAAAAAGAUCCAUAGGCAUUCCUAUUACGAACCCAACAAGUAUCCAUGAGGAUGCAGGUUCAAUCCCUGGCCUCGAUUAGUGAGUUAAGAUCUGGCGCUGCCAUGAACUGUGGCGGAGAGGCAGCUGCAGCUCUGAUUUGACCUCCAGCCUGGGAACUCCCAUAUGCCGCAGGUACAGCCUUAAAAAGGCACACACAAAAAAAAACAGUACAGGGAGCGGGAGGGAGUGGGAUGGAUGGGGUGCUUGGGGUUAAUAGAUGCAGACUGUUGCCUUUGGAAUGGAUUAGCAAUGAGAUCCUGCUGUGUAGCACUGGGAACUAUGUCUGGUCACUUAUGAUGGUGCAUGAUAAUGUGAGAAAAAAGAAUGUAUACAUGUAUGUGUGACUGGGUCACCAUGCUGUACAGUAGAAAACUGACAGAAGACUGUAAACCAGCUAUAAUGGAAAAGAUAAAAAUCAUAAAAAAUAAUAAUAGCAGCCCUGGAAUUAAACGGAAACUUAAAAACAACAACAACAAAAAAAACAGUACAGGGGAUUAUUUACAGCUGUAUGACCUCUGUUCACCUUUCUGACCCUCAUCAUAACAGGGGGGAGUAAUACUUACCCUAAAGAGCUCUUUUGGAGAUGAUAUAAAAUAAAAAUAUAUGCAAAUCAUCUAGCAGGUCCUCAAUAAAUGGUAUCAGCUGAUUCAGACCUCGGUCUACUAUUCAGAUGGCCUGCUUCAAAGUGAGAGUAUUUUCUACCACAGAAUGAAGACUAUAAUGCUGGACUUUCUCCAUUUGAUUUCUCCCUUAAUCUGAUUUCUGACUUUAAAGCUCCUUAAAAAUGAAAGGUUACCAACUAGCAGGAUGGUUCUGCCAAAAUGUGAGCAAAACAUUGCCUUGGCACCACUCAAGCACAUUUGCCAAGGCAUUUUUUAAUUCACAAGGGACCCAAGGAAGGGCCAUUUACUGAGCUAUUCAAUGGGGCGUGGACAUACUAUACAUUACACUCACAACUGGAAUCCCCAAUGCCACUACCGCUACUCUCUAUAGCUUUCAUUAUUUAAUACUGAUUAAAUGGAUUGGUGAAAUCAAAGAAACUAUGCCAAAACUCGAAGGUGGCUUCUGAAGCAAUUCCAGACUUGUCAGGUAUUUUACUUCAUGUUCAUCUCUAUUAUUCACCUAAGUCAGACCCCACAAACAUUCCUACUAUAUGCUCUGGAAGGCUCAGUCACAUUUUUUUUUCCAUCAUAACUCAACCAACAAUUUCAGCCCUCUCAUUUGUUAACUGUAUGACCUAAUCUCUGAAGACAACACUACUUAGGUAGUCCUAUUAGCUCAGCAAGGUUUAGAGAUAAUUUGUGUAGCAUGCCUACACAAUCAAUGACUGGCCUAUAGAAAGUAUGCAAUAAAUUGUAGCUGUUGGAGUUUCUGCCAUGGCUCAGUGGUUAACGAACCCAACUAGCAUCCAUGACGACGCAGGUUCGAUCCCCGGCCUUGCUCAGUGGGUUAAGGACCCAGUGUUGCUGUGAGCUGUGGUGUAGGUCAGAUCUGGCGUUGCUGCAGCUCCGAUUAGACCCCUAGCCUGAGAACCUCCAUGUGCUGCGGAUGUGGCCCGAAAAAGACAAAAACAAAAAAAAACAAAAAAACUACAGCUGUUACUGUCAUCAUUAAUAAGUAUUCAUGAAUGCCCACUAUUCUGCCAACAUUGUCCUGAGCACUAGUGGGCAACAAUAGGCAUAGACGCAGUUCCACUUUAGAAGGUACACAAUCUAGUUGAGAGAAAACAACUGUUAAAUGGUAAACUGUGUGGCAAAGACUAAGUGCUGAAGGCGACCAGAAAGAUACUCCACUAACUUGCAAAUACUUUUUGAAUCAAGGCAGAAAUUAUUAUUCUCAUUUUAUAAAAAAAAGAAAAUGAUGAGUUCCCGUCUUGGCGCAGUGGUUAACGAAUCCGACUAGGAACCAUGAGGUUGCGGGUUCGAUCCCUGCCCUUGCUCAGUGGGUUGGCGAUCCGGCAUUGCUGUGAGCUGUGGUGUAGGUUGCAGACGCGGCUCAGAUCCCAUGUUGCUGUGGCUGUGGUGUAGGCCAGUGGCUACAGCUCCGAUUGGACCCCUAGCCUGGGAACCUCCAUAUGCCAUGGGAGUGGCCCAAGAAAUAGCAAAAAGACAAAAAAAAAGAAAAUGAGACUGAGAAAACAUUCUUGUUCAUGUUCACAGAGAUCAUUUAUGAACUCAACAAAUUUUAGGCCAUGAAUUACAGUACAGAAGAGUAUAAAUAGAUCAGUUAAAACUCUUUCCAUUGUAAAUGACAGAAAAUUUAAUCAAAAUUAGUUUAAGCAGAAAGUCUAAUAACUGGCUUAAUUAACUGAAGCCCAGGAUUAGGGACGACUAGGGAAGGGCUCUAAGUCAUCACUUCCACCUCUUUAGCCUUGCUUCCUCAACAGUGGUUCUAUCAUGAACAGUCUCCUCUGAUGGUGGCAAAACAGCUUAGUACCUUCUAGUCUUUCCAGAAGCUAACAUCCUUCUGGUCCAGCAGGACUGAGAGGGUCUUCUAUAGCUGCCCCCAUAAAAGUCUUGAACAUCCAGUUUAGAGCAGCUUAGAACAUAUGGUUACCCCUAAACCAAUCAAUGGGCUAGAGGAAUGUGGUGUGCUGGUUAGCUUGGGCCUCGUUCAGGUACACCAAAGCUAAGAAGUUCCUACCCCAACCACAAGUAAGGAGGUGUGGUUCCUAAAACCAACAUCUGAUGCCACUACUGAGAUAAGGGCGGAAGCUAAAGAAGCAAACUAUACACGUCCACCACAAGGAACACUGUGAUUGCACCCUCACGGAAUUUAGAAUUUAGGGCAAUAGUCCACAAGUCCAAAUGUCUGGUAGAAAAAAGGGUUAGAGAUACGGUUUCAAUGGAAAAGAAACAUAACUGCAGUACCAAGUGGUAAGGGCUACAGUGGCUAAAUGUCACAGCAUCCAGGAACAAAAAGUACGAAGGCCACCAGGGGACUCAGGGACGUCUUCAGAGACAUGGUACUAACCAAACUUAGUCUAGGUCAGGGAGCAAAUCACUCAGCUACAACAUCAGAACAAAGCUUUCCUGAUUCCCUGUCAAGAGCUCCUUCCAUUACUAGGUCCUAACAGUAGGAAAGAAAGAUAGGUACUGAGGCAUCAAUGGAAGUGACUGCCACCGAAACUCAAACUAGCCGGCAAAACCGCUCAGCACUUACCAACACUGCAAAGGCCUUGUCCACAUAAGCAACAGAACCACAAAGACCCUGUCAACCUUAAAGAAAGAUGUCUGGGCUAAAUACAGUCAUGGUUCAAACAUACAUUCUUUCUUCAUGAGGCUUUUAUGGGGGGAAAAACAACAUAAAGAAAGGGAAAGCCCUUGAUCAAAUCGUAAAGCAUCCUGUAAACAUCAGUUAUUAUGUUUUUUAAUUUUUUGGGAAAGACGUUUCAAAGUAUUCUAUGACUUCUAUAAAGAGGAGAAUCCUUAAUGCUUCGAAACAUAGGGACUACAUUUCCUCUGCACUUGAGAUCAAAACUGUUUCCAGGAAAAGCUUAUAAUAACAAUACCACAUUAAACAUUGGUGAUUUAAGAGCUGGUAUGCAAUUAAGAGGACUCCACUGUUUCACCAGGCUCUAGUGGCAUCCAAUUAAGAAAUGAUAUGAGAGAGGAGCUCUUAAUUACAGGGGAAAACUUCCACAAGCCAGUGACAGGUGUGCAGGGCUCAAGCUGAGAUCAAAGCAGUUGACCACAGCAUUGAUUUCUCCCUUUCCUUCUUCCCAAAGACACUUAAGUUUGCAUGCAAUAGUUGAAAAAUAAACUAGACCAAAUGACUACCAUAUUUCAAGCUUUAUUACCCUUUAUCAUGUUAACAUCCACCAACCCAGUUUUAAAGGAUUAACACCAAAACAGAUGGUUUAAAUCCACAAUAAGUAAGCUUCAGUCAUCUGAAAUGAUAAUGACCAAGGUGAAUUUAUACUCAUCGCUAAGACGUUAUCAUGUUUCCCUAGACCAUACUAAUUGCAAAUUGAAAUUAUUUCUUUUUCAUUCACUUUGUAAAUUAUCUUAAGAAUAAAACCAUAUCAGAGUUCCCCGAUGGCCCAGAGGUUAAGAAUUCAGUGCUAUCACUGCUGUGGCACAGAGUAGAUCCCUGGCCCCAGAAUUUCUUUAUGCCACAGGUCCAAAAAAAAGAAAGCCACAUUUAAGGG
RNAcentral lists this long non-coding RNA (6133 nucleotides) under Sus scrofa (pig). RNAcentral's name for it is "lncRNA (ENSSSCG00005004002.1)". The record is from RNAcentral. Lineage: Eukaryota; Metazoa; Chordata; Mammalia; Artiodactyla; Suidae.